AACGAACGCUGGCGGCAUGCCUAACACAUGCAAGUCGAACGAGACCUUCGGGCCUAGUGGCGCACGGGUGCGUAACGCGUGGUAACUUGCCCUUAGGUUCGGAACAACUCCCUGAAAGGGGUGCUAAUACCGGAUAAUGUCAUCGGACCAAAGAUUUAUUGCCUUUGGAUGGGCCCGCGUUGGAUUAGCUAGUUGGUAGGGUAAAAGCCUACCAAGGCGACGAUCCAUAGCUGGUCGGAGAGGAUGAUCAGCCACACUGGGACUGAGACACGGCCCAGACUCCUACGGAAGGCAGCAGUAGGGAAUAUUGGACGAUGAGCGAAAGCCUGAUCCAGCAAUGCCGCGUGAGUGAUGAAGGCCUUAGGGUUGUAAAGCUCUUUUACCCGGGAUGAUAAUGACAGUACCGGGAGAAUAAGCACCGGCUAACUCCGUG
RNAcentral lists this ribosomal RNA (433 nucleotides) under uncultured bacterium. RNAcentral's name for it is "partial 16S ribosomal RNA". It matches the Rfam family "Bacterial small subunit ribosomal RNA", at positions 29 to 507 of the family's 1533-position model. The record is from RNAcentral.